CCUACGGGGUGCAGCAGUGGGGAAUAUUGGACAAUGGGCGAAAGCCUGAUCCAGCCAUGCCGCGUGUGUGAAGAAGGCCUUCGGGUUGUAAAGCACUUUCAGUGGGGAAGAAAGCCUUGGGGCUAAUACCCUCGAGGAAGGACAUCACCCACAGAAGAAGCACCGGCUAACUCCGUGCCAGCAGCCGCGGUAAUACGGAGGGUGCGAGCGUUAAUCGGAAUUACUGGGCGUAAAGCGCGCAUAGGCGGUCUGAUAAGCCGGUUGUGAAAGCCCCGGGCUCAACCUGGGAACGGCAUCCGGAACUGUCAGGCUAGAGUGCAGGAGAGGAAGGUAGAAUUCCCGGUGUAGCGGUGAAAUGCGUAGAGAUCGGGAGGAAUACCAGUGGCGAAGGCGGCCUUCUGGACUGACACUGACGCUGAGGUGCGAAAGCGUGGGUAGCAAACAGGAUUAGAUACCCCAGUAGUC
This 465-nucleotide ribosomal RNA is filed under the name Vreelandella stevensii. Its description in RNAcentral is "partial 16S ribosomal RNA". It matches the Rfam family "Bacterial small subunit ribosomal RNA", at positions 338 to 795 of the family's 1533-position model. The record is from RNAcentral. Lineage: Bacteria; Pseudomonadati; Pseudomonadota; Gammaproteobacteria; Oceanospirillales; Halomonadaceae.